This 1502-nucleotide ribosomal RNA is filed under the name uncultured Acidobacteriota bacterium. RNAcentral's name for it is "bacterial SSU rRNA". It matches the Rfam family "Bacterial small subunit ribosomal RNA". Lineage: Bacteria; Pseudomonadati; Acidobacteriota. The record is from RNAcentral.
UAGAGUUUGAUCCUGGCUCAGAAUGAACGCUGGCGGCGUGCUUAACACAUGCAAGUCGAGCGAGAAAGCUCCUUCGGGAGUGAGUAGAGCGGCGAACGGGUGAGUAAUACGUAGGAAUCUACCCUUCAGUGAAGAAUACCUCCGAGAAAUUGGAGUUAAUACUGCAUACGUUCCUUCGGGAAGAAAGGUGGCCUCUUGCUACCGCUGAUGGAUGAGCUUGCGCGCUAUUAGUUUGUUGGUGGGGUAAAAGCCUACCAAGACGAUGAUGGCCAGCCGGCCUGAGAGGGUGUACGGCCACACUGGAACUUAGACACGGUCCAGACUCCUACGGGAGGCAGCAGUGGGGAAUAUUGCGCAAUGGGCGAAAGCCUGACGCAGCGACGCCGCGUGGAGGAUGAAGGUUUUAGGAUCGUAAACUCCUGUUAAGUGGGAAGAAAGGCUUGUUCUUAAUACGGACAAGAUAUGACGGUACCACUAGAGAAAGCACCGGCUAACUUCGUGCCAGCAGCCGCGGUAAUACGAGGGGUGCAAGCGUUAUUCGGAAUCAUUGGGCGUAAAGGGUGCGUAGGCGGCACAUUAAGUCAGUUGUUAAAUUCCUUGGCCUAACCAAGGGUCAGCGACUGAUACUGUUGUGCUUGAGGGUGGAAGAGAGAAGUGGAAUUCUCGGAGUAGCGGUAAAAUGCGUAGAUCUCGAGAGGAACACCGAUGGCGAAGGCAGCUUCUUGGUCCAUUCCUGACGCUGAGGCACGAAAGCGUGGGUAGCAAACAGGAUUAGAUACCCUGGUAGUCCACGCUGUAAACGAUGAUCACUAGAUGUCAGUUUUGUUUAACAAGAUUGGUAUCGCAGCUAACGCGUUAAGUGAUCCGCCUGGGGAGUACGGUCGCAAGAUUAAAACUCAAAGGAAUUGACGGGGGUCCGCACAAGCGGUGGAACAUGUGGUUUAAUUCGAUACUACGCGAGAAACCUUACCUAGGCUUGACAUGUAUUUGACCGUUGUAGAAAUACAAUUUUUUGGAUUUCGGUUCAAACAGAUACACAGGUGCUGCAUGGCUGUCGUCAGCUCGUGUCGUGAGAUGUUGGGUUAAGUCCUCUAACGAGCGCAACCCCUGCCAUCAGUUGCUAUCCUUCGGGAGCACUCUGGUGGGACUGCCUGGGAAACCAGGAGGAAGGUGGGGAUGACGUCAAGUCCUCAUGGUCCUUAUGCCUAGGGCUACACACGUGUUACAAUGGCCAGCACAAAGGGUCGCGACUUCGCAAGGAGAAGCCAACCCCUUAAAUCUGGUCUAAGUUCGGAUUGAGGUCUGCAAUUCGACCUCAUGAAGUUGAAAUCGCUAGUAAUCGCGUAUCAGAACGACGCGGUGAAUACGUUCACGGGCCUUGUACACACCGCCCGUCACACCACGAAAGCUGUCUGUACCCAAAGUUGCUUUAGCUAACCCGUAAGGGAGGCGAGUACCUAAGGUAUGGGGAGUGAUUGGGGUGAAGUCGUAACAAGGUAACC